GACAGAGGGUGCAAACGUUGUUCGGAAUUACUGGGCGUAAAGCGCGUGUAGGCUGCUUCGCAAGUCGGGUGUGAAAGCCCUGGGCUCAACCUAGGAAGUGCACUCGAAACUGCGAAGCUGGAGUCCUGGAGAGGAAGGCGGAAUUCUCGGUGUAGAGGUGAAAUUCGUAGAUAUCGAGAGGAACACCGGUGGCGAAGGCGGCCUUCUGGACAGUGACUGACGCUGAGACGCGAAAGCAUGGGGAGCAAACAGG
Molecule: ribosomal RNA, 253 nt
Filed under: uncultured bacterium
Lineage: Bacteria
Description: partial 16S ribosomal RNA
Rfam family: Bacterial small subunit ribosomal RNA
Source: RNAcentral